Molecule: ribosomal RNA, 253 nt
Filed under: uncultured bacterium
Lineage: Bacteria
Also listed under: 1 other name
Description: partial 16S ribosomal RNA
Rfam family: Bacterial small subunit ribosomal RNA
Source: RNAcentral
UACGAAGGUCCCUAGCGUUGUUCGGAAUCAUUGGGCGUAAAGCGUGCGUAGGUGGCUUUGUAAGUCAGGUGUGAAAGCCCGGGGCUCAACCCCGGAAGUGCACUUGAAACUGCAAAGCUUGAGUACGGAAGAGGUGAGUGGAAUUCCUGGUGUAGUGGUGAAAUACGUAGAUAUCAGGAGGAACAUCGGUGGCGAAGGCGGCUCACUGGUCCAGUACUGACACUGAGGCACGAAAGCAUGGGGAUCAAACAGG